RNAcentral lists this ribosomal RNA (730 nucleotides) under uncultured bacterium. RNAcentral describes it as "SSU rRNA". It matches the Rfam family "Bacterial small subunit ribosomal RNA", at positions 666 to 1396 of the family's 1533-position model. The record is from RNAcentral.
UUUCCCGGUGUAGCGGUGAAAUGCGUAGAUAUCGGGAAGAACACCAGUGGCGAAGGCGCUCUGCUGGGCCAUCACUGACGCUCAUGGACGAAAGCCAGGGGAGCGAAAGGGAUUAGAUACCCCUGUAGUCCUGGCCGUAAACGAUGAACACUAGGUGUCGGGGGAAUCGACCCCUCCGGUGUCGUAGCCAACGCGUUAAGUGUUCCGCCUGGGGAGUACGCACGCAAGUGUGAAACUCAAAGGAAUUGACGGGGGCCCGCACAAGCGGUGGAGUAUGUGGUUUAAUUCGAUGCAACGCGAAGAACCUUACCAGGGUUUGACAUCCUGCGAAUCUCUUGGAAACUUGAGAGUGCCUUCGGGAGCGCAGUGACAGGUGGUGCAUGGCUGUCGUCAGCUCGUGUCGUGAGAUGUUGGGUUAAGUCCCGCAACGAGCGCAACCCACGUCUUUAGUUGCCAGCAUUUAGUUGGGCACUCUAGAGAGACCGCCGGUGAUAAACCGGAGGAAGGUGUGGAUGACGUCAAGUCAUCAUGCCCCUUACAUCCUGGGCUACACACGUACUACAAUGCUACGGACAAAGGGCAGCAAGUUCGCGAGGACAAGCAAAUCCCAUAAACCGUGGCUCAGUUCAGAUCGUAGGCUGCAACUCGCCUACGUGAAGGAGGAAUCGCUAGUAAUCGCAGGUCAGCAUACUGCGGUGAAUACGUUCCCGGGCCUUGCACACACCGCCCG